This is a long non-coding RNA of Myotis myotis, 900 nucleotides long. RefSeq lists it as uncharacterized. The transcript has 3 exons. The record is from RefSeq and is a predicted model, not a curated record. Lineage: Eukaryota; Metazoa; Chordata; Mammalia; Chiroptera; Vespertilionidae.
GUGAUAGUGAGGAAGUUUCCCUGAGCUAUCGCAAGUGCAGAGGGCCUGGGAGGGGCCCUGGCUGGGGCCUGAUCUUGAGCAAACGAUUCCGCCCCCUCCAGGGUGUGCUCCCUUCAAGGACCAAACACUGAGCCUCCCUCUGGGAACAGGGGGACUGACAUCACAACCCCAGCGACGCGGACCCUGGUAAAGUACAGGAUGAGGACGCUGAUAGGGCAUCUUUCCAGAAGGGGGCUUUUCCCCAAACAUGGGGACCGAUAAGCCCUUCCCAGAAGAUGGAAGACAACUUCAGAUGCAGAACUCAUGCCUCCAUUCAAACUAAUGAGACUGCUGAGCCUCUGCUGGGUCCACUGUGGGCUCAGCACAGAACCUCAGAGAAUUCUCUCACUGGGAAGGCAGGCCACCACCGAGGAGAGAGAGAAGUGAAGGCACAAAGAAGCAACUCACUCGAGGGCAUGAGGUUGUCAGCAAUGAAGAGGUGCCAUUAGCUGCUAACCCAAUGCUGGCUCUCGGACCUUCUGCUGAACUACACAUCUUAGUGGGGAACCCACCCACCAACAGGGUCUCAAUUCAAAGACACACUCACACUGCCGCUCCUUUAUCUUCCACUCCACCACUCUCUGCAAAUGGAAGGCGAUAGUUAGAAGCGUCGUUUCUGCCUAAUACUGGAGCGGGAGGCUCUCCCUACACCUCUACAGCUCUUCCUGUAGGAAAGGAGCCAUGCUGGUUCCUUGAAAAAACUGGUACUGAUUCCUACGGAGACGCUCCACCCCGUGUCACACAGAGCUGUCCCAGGACGUCAUCAAAUAUUGACAUCCUGUCCGGGUGAGCUGGUAGCCAUGCUGAAGGAAGACACGUACCCAGUUCUGGAAUCUUCCUACUUCAGGAGGCCAAUCACUG